This 114-nucleotide unclassified non-coding RNA is filed under the name uncultured Cryptococcus. RNAcentral describes it as "sequence contains ITS1". Lineage: Eukaryota; Fungi; Basidiomycota; Tremellomycetes. The record is from RNAcentral.
AUGAAAUCACGUAUCUCGGGUCUCCCGGAUAUGUUUCAUCCCAUACACCGUGAACUGUGGCCUCGGCCAUUUACACAAACUGUUAGUAAUGAAUGUAACAUCAUAACAAACAUA